CACGUAGGGGGCGAGCGUUGUCCGGAUUCAUUGGGCGUAAAGGGCGCGCAGGCGGCCCGGAAAGUCGGAUGUGAAAACUCGAGGCUCAACCUCGAGCGUGCACCCGAUACUGCCGGGCUUGAGGCAGGUAGGGGAGAUCGGAAUUCCUGGUGUAGCGGUGAAAUGCGCGGAUAUCAGGAGGAACACCGGUGGCGAAGGCGGAUCUCUGGGCCUGUCCUGACGCUGAGGCGCGAAAGCUAGGGGAGCGAACAGG
RNAcentral lists this ribosomal RNA (253 nucleotides) under uncultured bacterium. Its description in RNAcentral is "partial 16S ribosomal RNA". It matches the Rfam family "Bacterial small subunit ribosomal RNA", at positions 524 to 776 of the family's 1533-position model. The record is from RNAcentral.